ACCCAUUUUGCAGGUGCUGUGGUCUUACCUCCACAUGUGAAACGGGCCUCUCUUGCUGUUUUUGCACAAACAGGAGCUGCUGCCUCACGCUGGAUCUGCCUCCCAUAAAUGCACCAACAUCCUGCCCUGAAGGAGAGAAGUUCCAGACCCUGCCAAGUAUCAACAUCAAGAACGUGUCCCACGGAGACAAGGCCACACAGCAGCUUCCAUGUGUCAGCAUUCCCACUGAGUCCUUCCAACAGGCAGCCCAAAUUCACUGCUCACACACACAGUUACGCAGGUAACUUGGCUCUGGACAGAGAAAUGGAGGAAAUACCUGACAGAUUUACACCACGGAGAGCAGCACUUAUUUGGAGAAAUUGCUGUCUAACAGAUCCUUUGUGGACUUCCGACCAAAACCAUCCAGUGCAGCAUAUGGGGACAAUCAGAAGAGAAGGGGUAGCCAAGCUCUUCCAGGCACCAUGGGCAUCUCCCACAGCACCACUCAGGAGCUGAGGCGCUGCAGAUUUGUACAGCCUGAGGCAGUCCCAGCCUGGCAGGAGGUGGGCAGAGAGAAGGGAACUGCCUCGCUAAAGGUCACAGAGCAGAAGGAAAAGCAGCACCCUGAACCCUGCAGAGGCUCCAGACAAUUUGUCGAGCAGCCACUCAUGCCAGUGUUAUCUCAGAGCCCAUCCCGGCCAAAUCUGUUGAGGAUGUGAGCAACAGCAUUUUAAUGGUACCCAUAAAUAGUUUAUUUAAGGCUGAGACUUGAUGACUACAGCACUGUCGUUAUCAGUGUCUGGAAUAAACCAUCUCUGAUAAUAAAUAAUCCAGGAUAACUCCCAGCAUCAAAACUUCUGUCCUAAGUUGCUCCCAUUUCCAUCCUAUCAAUCAGAAAGUCUGAGUGUUUGCAGCAGCUCAUACAGUAAAUUGACUUUAGCUUUCUUCUUUCCAAAUACUGAAACCGGCUCUUUCCAGGGCACUGCCAUGUAAUUUACAGCUCUAUCACCACCUCCUUAAUAGCUGCCGUGUUCUUUGGAGUCCUUUGAAAGUGAACAUAAUAAAAAGAUACGAGCUGAGACUGACCAUGGGUU
Long non-coding RNA from Taeniopygia guttata (zebra finch), 1073 nucleotides. RefSeq lists it as uncharacterized. The record is from RefSeq and is a predicted model, not a curated record. Lineage: Eukaryota; Metazoa; Chordata; Aves; Passeriformes; Estrildidae.